This 245-nucleotide ribosomal RNA is filed under the name uncultured bacterium. RNAcentral's name for it is "partial 16S ribosomal RNA". It matches the Rfam family "Bacterial small subunit ribosomal RNA", at positions 524 to 768 of the family's 1533-position model. The record is from RNAcentral.
GACGAACCGUACGAACGUUAUUCGGAAUCACUGGGCUUAAAGGGUGCGUAGGCUGUCCGGUAAGUUGGGUGUGAAAUCCCUCGGCUCAACCGAGGAAUAGCGUCCAAAACUGUCGGACUUGAGGGAGACAGAGGUGAGCGGAACUUAGGGUGGAGCGGUGAAAUGCGUUGAUAUCCUAAGGAACACCAGUGGCGAAGGCGGCUCACUGGGUCUCUUCUGACGCUGAGGCACGAAAGCUAGGGUAG